This is a long non-coding RNA of Chelonia mydas (Green sea turtle), 296 nucleotides long. RefSeq lists it as uncharacterized. The transcript is spliced from 2 exons. Lineage: Eukaryota; Metazoa; Chordata; Testudines; Cheloniidae. The record is from RefSeq and is a predicted model, not a curated record.
UUUGCGAAUACAGACUAACACGGCUGUUACUCUGAAACCUGUAGGGUUAAGACAGCUGCAUUGGAGAGCUAUAGACAAUGAUUGAUUUAUCAAGACAACAGAAGGGGCAAGGUCUAAGAACUGCAGGCUGAGGAGAAAGGAGUUUUUAUGACGGUUGGUCUGUGACUGAAAAUGCAGCUGCAUCUUACAACCUACAGUCCCACUGAAAUCAUUGGGCUACAUUAUGGCUGUGUCGCGUUUAAAUUCUUCUUUGUAUUACUGCUCAGUUUUCUUCAUAUAAAAGUUAAUUUCUUGUU